ACAUGUAAACAUCUGAUCGUUUGA
RNAcentral lists this small nuclear RNA (24 nucleotides) under Arabidopsis thaliana (thale cress). RNAcentral describes it as "snRNA_09496". Lineage: Eukaryota; Viridiplantae; Streptophyta; Magnoliopsida; Brassicales; Brassicaceae. The record is from RNAcentral.